GGGGAAUAUUGGACAAUGGGCGCAAGCCUGAUCCAGCCAUGCCGCGUGAGUGAUGAAGGCCUUAGGGUUGUAAAGCUCUUUUACUCGGGAAGAUAGUGACGGUACCGAGGGAAUAAGCCCCGGCUAACUUCGUGCCAGCAGCCGCGGUAAUACGAAGGGGGCUAGCGUUGUUCGGAUUUACUGGGCGUAAAGCGCACGUAGGCGGAUCUUUAAGUCAGGGGUGAAAUCCCGAGGCUCAACCUCGGAACUGCCUUUGAUACUGGGGAUCUUGAGUCCGGAAGAGGUGGGUGGAACUGCGAGUGUAGAGGUGAAAUUCGUAGAUAUUCGCAAGAACACCAGUGGCGAAGGCGGCUCACUGGUCCGGAACUGACGCUGAGGUGCGAAAGCGUGGGGAGCAAA
Molecule: ribosomal RNA, 399 nt
Filed under: uncultured bacterium
Lineage: Bacteria
Description: bacterial SSU rRNA
Rfam family: Bacterial small subunit ribosomal RNA
Source: RNAcentral